AGAUGAAAACACAAGCUUGGUUAAAGUCUUGUCAAAGAGCACAAAGAUCAAUCUCACCUCAGCGUCCAGCUCAGCAGUCACUGGAAGCUGCAUCACCACUGUGGGGGUCGUUUGCCUAAACCAAGGAGCCAAGAGGAAGGUCGACGAUGCUGAGGAAGGACAGAGUAGGAAGAGGAGACUGGUCACCGAGGACGUUAAGGAGGAGCCAACCAUCAAGAGUCAAGAAAAGACAAAACCCAGAGAGGAGGCAGCGUCAGUCACUGGAAGCUGCAUCACCACUGUGGGGGUCGUUUGCCUGAACCAAGGAGCCAAGAGGAAGGUCGACGAUGCUGAGGAAGGACCGAGUAGGAAGAGGAGACUGGUCACCGAGGACGUUAAGGAGGAGCCAACCAUCAAGAGUCAAGAAAAGACAAAACCCAGAGAGGAGGCAGCGUCAGUCACUGGAAGCUACAACCCCUCUGUGGAGGUCGUUGGGCAGAACCAAGGAGCCAAGAGGAAGGUCGACGAUGCUGAGGAAGGACCGAGUAGGAAGAGGAGACUGGUCACCGAGGACGUUGAGGACAUUAAGGAGAA
This is a long non-coding RNA of Pungitius pungitius (ninespine stickleback), 573 nucleotides long. RefSeq lists it as uncharacterized. The transcript has 4 exons. The record is from RefSeq and is a predicted model, not a curated record. Lineage: Eukaryota; Metazoa; Chordata; Actinopteri; Perciformes; Gasterosteidae.